Hypanus sabinus (Atlantic stingray) is the source of this 4534-nucleotide long non-coding RNA. RefSeq lists it as uncharacterized. The transcript has 3 exons. Lineage: Eukaryota; Metazoa; Chordata; Chondrichthyes; Myliobatiformes; Dasyatidae. The record is from RefSeq and is a predicted model, not a curated record.
GAGGAAAAUAACUCAGGAGAACAGGGAUAGAUUUCGAACUCGGCUAAAUGCAGCAAAAACUACUGUCAGCACAGCCAAAAGUGGAGAAGAGGAUAGUGGAUAGGUCUUUUUCAGUUACGUUAGUAGACAGAGGACAAUUCCUGGGCAUUGAUGUUUCCAUACAAGGCUGUGAUGCAACCAGUUAGGACAUUCGCCACUGUGCAUCUAUAAAAGUUUUUGGUUACAUGCCGAAUCUUUGCAAACUUCUAAGAAAGUAGAGAUGCUAUUAUGCCGCCUUUGAAGCAACAGAAGAUAACAAAAAAGGCAAUACGCCAAGAAAAAAUGAGAUCAACCAUGGUGAUAUUCUAACUGGCUGCUUGGGGCUGCAGCACAGUAUGGAAAGAAGCUGCAGAAAAUUAUGAACAGUCAGCUCCAUUAUGGGCAAUUGCAGUUUCCGGGAUAUCUUCAAGGAGCAAUGAUGCCUCGAAGAGGCAGCAUUCGUCCAUCAUUAAGGACAUGUUCUCUUCUCAUUGCUUCCAUCAGGAAGGAGAUACAAGAGCCUGAAGGCACAUAGUGAAUCAGGAACAGCUGCUUCCCUUCUACCAUCCAAUUUCUGAAUGGACUUUAAAUUCCUGGGUCUCACUAUCUCAAUGGACUUGUCCUGGACCCAUCAUAUUAAAAAUUAUUGCAAAGAAAGUACAACAGCGCCUCUACUUCCUCAAGAGUCUGCGGAGGUUCAGCAUGUCAUUGAAAGCCUUGUCAGAAUUCUAUAGAUGUGUGUUGGAAAGUGUGCUGACUGGUUGUGUUAUGCAUGGAGCAGGAACCCCAAUGCCUUUGAGGAGAAAAUCCUACAAAAGGUAGUCAAUUUGGCCCAGUACAUCUCAGGUAAAACUCUCCCAACCAUUGAGCACAUCUACGUGAAGCACAGGAAAGCAACAUCCAUCAUCAAAUAUUCUCACCACCCAGGCCAUGCUCUUUUCUCACUGCUGCCAUCAGGUAGAAGAUACAAGUGCCUCAGGACUCUCACCACCAGGUUCAGGAACAGUUACUACCCCUCAACCAUCAGGCUCUUGAACAAAAGAGGAUAACUACACUUAUUUAAGGACUCUGUUACAUUGUUAUUUCAUGCUCAAUAUUUGUUACUAUUUAUAUCUGUAUUUGCACUGUUUACAGUUAAUGUUCUAUAGACUUUGCUAAGUAUGCCUGCAGAAAAGAAAUUAAUUUAAUUGAAUGUAUUUAAUUUAACUACUUAACAAAUGUGAAUUACAGUAAGUAUAUAUAUUAAGUGUUGCAUUGUGCUGUUGGUGUAAAGACAGCAAAUGUCUCAACGUACCCCAGUGAUGUUAAACCUGAUUCUGAUUCCUUCUGUAUGACAUUUUUAGUUACCUUCUGUUGGUUUUUCAAAGCUUUCCACACACUUUUGCUCUAUUAUAUGCCCUCUCUCAGGCUUCUUUGUUGGCUUUGAACUCUUGUCAGCCAUGUUAUCAUGCGUUUAGAAUACUACUUUUUCUUUGGGAUGUAUCUUUCCUACGCCUUCCAAAUUGCUCCAGAAACUCCAGCCAUUAUUGCUGUCCGUCCCUGAUGGUGUUCCCUUCCAGUCAGUUUUGGCCAGCUCCCCUUGCGUGCCUCUGUAAUUCCUUGUACUCUGCUGUAAUACUGAAAUAUCUGACUUUAGCUUCUCCUCAAAUUUCAGGGUGAAUCUGUACUCCUUGGAUUUAUAUUUUAAAAAUAAAAUGAGCAGUGAUCUCAUGAAAUAUGCAACAUUUGAAAAUGAAACAGAAAAGUACAGAACAAGACAGCACAAGUACAGGUCCUUCAAACCACAAAGUUGUGCCACCUACUGCAAAGUCAAUCUAAUCCCUCCAUCUCACAUGGCCCUCCAUUUUUCCUUCAUUCAUGUGCCUAUCUAAGAGUUUCUUAAAUGUUUUGAAUGUACCACCACCCUGGCAGGGUGUUCAAUGCACCCACCACUCUCUGUAGGAAAACCCAGUGCUGACAUCUCCCCCUAUGCUUUUCUCCAGUCACCUGAAAAUUACGCCCCCUUGUAUUUGCCAUUAACACAACACCUUGGAGAAAAAAAUCCUCUGGCUAUCCACUUGAUAUAUAUAAAUUAUUAUCUCGUAUAGCUCUUUCAGCUCUCCUCUGAUUUUCUCUCACUAGCUCACUCAACUUUUCCUCAUUAGAAAUACUGUCUAAAUCCUCCUAAGUCUCCUCUUCACCCUCCAUAAAACUUCCUCAUUCUUAGUGUAACUGACCAGAAUUUUAUAGAGUUGCAACAUUACCUCGUGGCUCUUGAAUUCAAUCCCUGACUAAUUAUAAGCCAACAUACCACAUGUGACAAAACUCUUGAGACUUGAGAAGGAAGUGUGGAGAUACCCCCCCCCCCCCCAACUAAGGUGCCUUUUCAUCUAGGUAGUAGUAACUGAAGUGUAGAAAAUCAGUACAGAUAAGAAAGCAGAUAAUACUGAAGACAGACAGAGUAUUAAAUGAUCUUUGAAUAUUCAGCAGUCAAGGAACAGAAGAGCUCGGAUAAGCUAUUCUGCUCUGAAACCUGUUCUGCUGGACACCAUGUGUCCAAACAAAUCAUUGUAAGUUGGUGUAGCACUGGAGGGUGACACAGGAGAAGGUUGGUUCUCCCAUUUGCCUGCACUAAUGUUAUCUGAUAUUUGUUUCCCUUAUCAUUUCAAAGCCUAAUUACAAAUGCCUCGGUGUGAGAAGUUCAUAUUUUCUUGUUUGCAUUGAGGAGAUUAAUGUUCAGGAAAAUCCAUUGGGUUUGACAUACCAGCAAAAUAAUUAUAUGUUAGUAUAAAGGAAAUAUUCGUUUGGAAUACUUGUCCAGUACAACGACAAUGAACCAACCCAUGAGCAAUACCUUGUUUUUUUUUCCCCUCUAUUUACACUACUUCAAUAUAUUUCUUAUUGUAAUAUAUAAUUUUGCUUUAUUGUUACUGUAUUGCAAUGUACUGUUGCCGCAAAGCAACAAAUUUCACGACAUACAGUACUGCGCAAAAGUCUCAGUCACAUAUAAAAAUACCUAUAUACCUAUGGUGACUAGGACUUGCACAGUAUCUGUCAAUGUGGAGCUGCGAGUGACUUUCCCAGCAUAGGAUGUUGGGAGUAGUGAGGGUCGAGUGCUGGACAGGUGGCAGAGAAGGAGUGCCAGGGACGCACCCAACCCUGAGACACCAGGCAAGAUCAUUUGUCUCUCUGCUGCUUCCCACUUCCUCUCCUUUCCCCACCCAUGAUUCCAGUUUCUGUCCCCCUUCCCCACUCACUGUCCACAAUAGAGACCCAUAUCAGAAUAGGUUUAUCAUUACAUAUGUCAUGAAAUGUGUUUUAUUACAGCAGCAGCAGUACAGUGCGAUAUGCGAUAUGUACUGUGCCAAAGUUUAAGGCACCCUCGCUAUAUAUAUGUGCCAAAGACAUUUUGCACAGUACUGUAUGCCAAUGAUAUUAAACCUGAAUUUGAUUCUGAUUUGGGUAUGUUUAGGUAUGGCUUAUUCAGUAAACAAUUCCUUACUAUUAGCAAUUGUGACUGUUUCCAGUUUAAUUGAAGAAUAUACCAUUACUCAGCCACACCAAUUCAGUUCAGUUUCAGUUUAUUGUCAUUUAGAAACCACAAAUGCAAUGCAGUUAAAAAAUGAGACAACGUUCUCCAGAAUGAAAUCACAAAAGCACACGACAAAACAGACUACACCAGAAAAUCCACAUAAUGUUUGGUAAUCCCCAAUUCCAGAGGCUGGAGAGGCUGCUGCGUAUUACUAUCGCGCUACCAGCUUAGCGCGUUCCCCGGAAAGGAGCCCCAAAUCCACCAGACAAAACAAGAAAACAAGACUACCCAGAUACACCAAGUCAAAAGACCAACUCUACCACCCAACAAACCAAAAACUAAAGCUACAAGACCUACACAAAACCACAUAGUUACAUAUUUUUUAUAGUUAACAUAUAGUUACAACAGUGCAGAUAAUACCAUAAUUGAUUAAAAAGCAGACCAUGGGCACAGUAAAAAUAGUCCAAAGAUGUUAAAAGACUAUAAGUUCAAAAGAAACCAUCACACAGUUUCCACAAGUCCUCAGGAUCCCAAUAGACUCGUCAUCCCACGCAGGAGGCAGAAGGGAGUACCCCAGCUAUGGACUUCCACAGCGCCAGACUCAGCCUUGCAGACGCAGCACACAAUGAAAGCUCAGUCGGAGCCAGCCUCACAGAUACAGCACACAGUGAAAGCGCCCCAACCACAGCAGACUCAGAGUCCACUGAACCUCCAAGCCUCCGACCAUCCCCUCAGGCACAGCCUCUCCGAGCACCAUCCUCUGCCGAGCGCACUACGACACUCUCGCCAACAGCCACCGGCAACACGACCCCGAGGACUGGGGGCGUGUUCUCAGCAGAGACCCGGACCUCACAACAGCAGCAGCAAUGAAGAAGUCCUUCCUGGAGAUUUCCAAAUGUUCCUCCAUGCUCCCACGUCUGUUUUUCAUCAGAUUAGUAUUGUGCACGGCACCCCGCUUAACAAAUAACAGAUAUCAGCUCCAGACUGGCCGCUAUAAACUACAUC